Long non-coding RNA from Leptinotarsa decemlineata (Colorado potato beetle), 352 nucleotides. The record is from RefSeq and is a predicted model, not a curated record. Lineage: Eukaryota; Metazoa; Arthropoda; Insecta; Coleoptera; Chrysomelidae.
AUUUUAAUAAUGAUUGUUUUCAGAUGAAUGAAGACGGUUCUUUGAAUAUGGAAGUAAUUGAAGUAUUGUGUCCUCCAAAACUGAAACGAGAAAUGGAAGUAGGUCUUCCUCGGUGUCACGCAGAAUCUGCAGGCAUAAGACCUCUGUAUGAGAGAACAUACCAAAUAACGAAAUGUUUUUAUGAAAGGUAUCCCGAUCAUUUCUUUGUGCUUUGAGGCGCAACAUUUCACCACUGAGUCUCCAUAGUUCCGCCGGCAGAAAGCAACUAUGAACUUUACUAUAUAGUUUUCAAUUUGUGUGUUUGUGCAUGCUAAUUAAUUUAUGAUAAAAUAAAUACACAUUUGAAAUAUUA